Molecule: long non-coding RNA, 204 nt
Filed under: Gossypium raimondii (Peruvian cotton)
Lineage: Eukaryota; Viridiplantae; Streptophyta; Magnoliopsida; Malvales; Malvaceae
Description: long non-coding RNA (GRAI_LNC000517)
Source: RNAcentral
CUAUAGGUCUAAUCGCUACAUUGAUUUGUGCCAUGUAUGUUAGGAAACAAUAUUGUAAAGUAUAUAAAGAGAACCUUAACAACAAUGGAAGUUGAGUUCAUGUUUAAGAGGUUUGGCCAGCAUAUUUAUUUAGUAGUUGGCCUAACCCAAUUAAAUAAAGUGGAAGUUGACUCUCAUAGAUGUCAACUUGUUUCUCCUUUUUUU